AACGAUGGCUUCAUCAAAAUGUGGAAACUUAACCUUGAGUCCUUGGAGCCUCCGGUCCUCCUGGGGAAGGUGAAUAUACGGCCCGGUUGACCUGUCUGGCCGUGUGGAAGCCCACCACUCUACAGGAGCCUCCCCCAGAGGUCAAAACAGAACCUACCACAUCUCACGACGUCAAGGAUGUACUGGAGCUUGAGAAGAAGAGGAAGAGGGUCAGGAUCUCGACUGUAGAAGUGG
Molecule: long non-coding RNA, 234 nt
Organism: Oncorhynchus masou masou (cherry salmon)
Lineage: Eukaryota; Metazoa; Chordata; Actinopteri; Salmoniformes; Salmonidae
Exons: 3
Source: RefSeq, a predicted model, not a curated record